UGAGGAAUAUUGGUCAAUGGGCGCAAGCCUGAACCAGCCAUCCCGCGUGCAGGAAGACGGCCCUAUGGGUUGUAAACUGCUUUUCCAGGGGGAGAAUUUUUCUGUCGUGACAGGAAUUGACGGUACCCUGGGAAUAAGCAUCGGCUAACUCCGUGCCAGCAGCCGCGGUAAUACGGAGGAUGCGAGCGUUAUCCGGAUUUAUUGGGUUUAAAGGGUGCGUAGGCGGAUUGAUAAGUCAGUGGUGAAAACCUGCAGCUUAACUGUAGACUUGCCGUUGAUACUGUCAGUCUUGAGUGUGGUCAAGGUAGGCGGAAUGUGUAAUGUAGCGGUGAAAUGCUUAGAUAUUACACAGAACACCGAUUGCGAAGGCAGCUUACUGGGCCAUUACUGACGCUGAUG
This 399-nucleotide ribosomal RNA is filed under the name uncultured bacterium. RNAcentral's name for it is "bacterial SSU rRNA". It matches the Rfam family "Bacterial small subunit ribosomal RNA", at positions 355 to 751 of the family's 1533-position model. The record is from RNAcentral.